Molecule: ribosomal RNA, 253 nt
Filed under: uncultured bacterium
Lineage: Bacteria
Description: partial 16S ribosomal RNA
Rfam family: Bacterial small subunit ribosomal RNA
Source: RNAcentral
UACGUAGGGGGCGAGCGUUGUCCGGAUUUAUUGGGCGUAAAGAGCUUGUAGGCGGCUCGUCACGUCGGGUGUGAAAACUCGCGGCUCAACCGCGAGCCUGCACCCGAUACGGGCGGGCUGGAGUUCGGCAGGGGAGACUGGAAUUCCUGGUGUAGCGGUGGAAUGCGCAGAUAUCAGGAGGAACACCGGUGGCGAAGGCGGGUCUCUGGGCCGAUACUGACGCUGAGAAGCGAAAGCGUGGGGAGCGAACAGG